UGGGGAAUAUUGCACAAUGGGCGAAAGCCUGAUGCAGCAACGCCGCGUGAGGGACGACGGCCUUCGGGUUGUAAACCUCUUUAGCAAGGAAGAAGCGAAAGUGACGGUACUUGCAGAAAAAGCGCCGGCUAACUACGUGCCAGCAGCCGCGGUAAUACGUAGGGCGCAAGCGUUAUCCGGAAUUAUUGGGCGUAAAGAGCUCGUAGGCGGUUUGUCGCGUCUGCUGUGAAAACCCGAGGCUCAACCUCGGGCCUGCAGUGGGUACGGGCAGACUAGAGUGCGGUAGGGGAGAUUGGAACUCCUGGUGUAGCGGUGGAAUGCGCAGAUAUCAGGAAGAACACCGAUGGCGAAGGCAGAUCUCUGGGCCGUAACUGACGCUGAGGAGCGAAAGGGUGGGGAGCAAACAGGCUUAGAUACCCUGGUAGUCCACCCCGUAAACGUUGGAACUAGUUGUGGGUCCAUUCCACGGAUUCCGUGACGCAGCUAACGCAUUAAGUU
Molecule: ribosomal RNA, 498 nt
Filed under: uncultured bacterium
Lineage: Bacteria
Description: partial 16S ribosomal RNA
Rfam family: Bacterial small subunit ribosomal RNA
Source: RNAcentral